UACAGAGGUCUCAAGCGUUGUUCGGAUUCAUUGGGCGUAAAGAGCGUGUAGGCGGCCCGGUAAGUCCGCUGUGAAAGUCGGGGGCUCAACCCUCGAAUGCCGGUGGAUACUGUCGGGCUAGAGUGCGGAAGAGGCGAGUGGAAUUCCUGGUGUAGCGGUGAAAUGCGCAGAUAUCAGGAGGAACACCGAUUGCGAAGGCAGCUCGCUGGGACGUAACUGACGCUGAGACGCGAAAGCGUGGGGAGCGAAUGGG
This 253-nucleotide ribosomal RNA is filed under the name uncultured bacterium. RNAcentral describes it as "partial 16S ribosomal RNA". It matches the Rfam family "Bacterial small subunit ribosomal RNA", at positions 524 to 776 of the family's 1533-position model. The record is from RNAcentral.